Molecule: non-coding RNA, 599 nt
Organism: Xyrichtys novacula (pearly razorfish)
Lineage: Eukaryota; Metazoa; Chordata; Actinopteri; Labriformes; Labridae
Source: the annotation of a GenBank genome assembly
CAACAUCCUGCAAGAAUGACCACGAGUCUGAACAGAGAGAGGACCUUCAAACUGCUAAUGUUAGCGUAGCUUUAAACAAAGUAACAUGUGAGCAGCUUAGCGUGCGGCGCUGCGUUCAAAUACAGUCAGAGUCAAAUCUGCUGAGUGAAGCUGAGAGAAGGUAGACAUACAUGUUUCAUCAGUGACGGUCUGUUCUUCCUCACACAGUUUAAACAUCUCUUCAUUAAGAGUUCAAAGGUCACACUGAGGCGAUAACCAGAGACACAUAAAAACAGACCAGGUAACGAGUCACAGGAAAACUGUUCCACUGCUGUGAUGUCACUCAGGUACACUGUGAUGUCACCCAGGUACACUGUGAUGUCACUCAGGUACACUGUGAUGUCACUCAGGUACACUGUGAUGUCACCCAGGUACACUCUGCCAUCGUCCCCGUGUCUCCGUUACAUUAAUCAGGUCCUCUCGUGUGCCUAUAAAUGAGUUUGUGUGUUUGUGUCAUUUGUCAGGUCCUCUCGUGUGCCUAUAAGUGAGUUUGUGUGUUUGUGUCAUUUAUCAGGUCCUCUCGUGUGCCUAUAAGUGAGUUUGUGUGUUUGUGUCAUUUG